Molecule: unclassified non-coding RNA, 515 nt
Filed under: uncultured Glomus
Lineage: Eukaryota; Fungi; Glomeromycota; Glomeromycetes; Glomerales; Glomeraceae
Description: SSU rRNA
Rfam family: Eukaryotic small subunit ribosomal RNA
Source: RNAcentral
GGCAGCCGCGGUAAUUCCAGCUCCAAUAGCGUAUAUUAAAGUUGUUGCAGUUAAAAAGCUCGUAGUUGAAUUUCGAGAUCAAAUUGUUGGUCGUGCCUUGGUACGCACUGGCAUUAUUGGUUUCUCCCUUCUGACGAACCAUGAUGUCAUUAAUUUGGUGUCUUGGGGAAUCAGGACUGUUACUUUGAAAAAUUGAGUGUUUAAAGCAGGCUUACGCUUGAAUACAUUAGCAUGGAAUAAUGAAAUAGGACGUUUGAUUCUAUUUUGUUGGUUUCUAGGAUCGACGUAAUGAUUAAUAGGGAUAGUUGGGGGCAUUAGUAUUCAAUUGUCAGAGGUGAAAUUCUUGGAUUUAUUGAAGACUAACUACUGCGAAAGCAUUUGCCAAGGAUGUUUUCAUUAAUCAAGAACGAAAGUUAGGGAUCGAAGACGAUCAGAUACCGUCGUAGUCUUAACCAUAAACUAUGCCGACUAGGGAUCGGAUGAUGUUAAUUUUUAAUGUACUCAUUCGGCUACCG